NUGAUUUUGUUUAAUUUAUCCAUGUUAGGGUUCAAAGUUAUAUAUUAUUUGUUCAACCAUGUUAGGGUUCAAAGUUAAUUUCUCCAUAUUAGGGUUUAAUUUCUCCAUGUUAGGGUUCAAAGUUAGCUCAACCAUAUUAGGGUUCAAAGUUAUAUAUUAUUUGCAUUUUUUAGGGUUCUUAUUAAUACAUUUAGUCCAAAAUAUUUAGUUUUACCUACUAAUUUGGGGAAAAAAUUGUUUGAAGAGAAGAAACCCUAAGAGUUGCACCUUUAGGAUUAUGUAUUGGAAUUUUAGUUUAUAAAUUAAAAUUUUAGGAUAUGACUUGAACUUUUGUGGAUAUGAGUUGAACCUUUAGGAUAUGAAUUGAGCCUUUAAGAUAUGAAUUGAAAUUUUUGGUUUAUGUAUUGGAAGUUUAGUUUAUAAAUUAAAAUUUUAGGAUAUGAAUUGAACCUUUAGGAUAUGGUUAGACUUUUAGUUUAUGUAUUGAAAUUUUAGUUUAUAAAUUGAAAUUUUAGGAUAUUACUUGAACUUUUGUGGAUAUAGUUGAACCUUUAGGAUAUGAAUUAGACUUUUUAGUUUAUGUAUUGGAAUUUUAGUUUAUAAAUUGAAAUUUUAGGAUUUGACUUGAACUUUUGUGGAUAUGAGUUGAACCUUUAGGAUAUGAAUUGAACCUUUUGAAAUUUUUCGUUUAUGUAUUGGAAGUUUAGUUUAUAAAUUAAAAUUUUAGGAUAUGAAUUGAACCUUGUUGAUAUGAAUUGAACCUUUAGGAUAUGAGUUGGACUUUUAGUUU
Molecule: long non-coding RNA, 790 nt
Filed under: Nicotiana tabacum (common tobacco)
Lineage: Eukaryota; Viridiplantae; Streptophyta; Magnoliopsida; Solanales; Solanaceae
Description: long non-coding RNA (NTAB_LNC008906)
Source: RNAcentral